Molecule: unclassified non-coding RNA, 72 nt
Filed under: Pythium insidiosum
Lineage: Eukaryota; Oomycota; Peronosporomycetes; Pythiales; Pythiaceae
Description: partial large subunit ribosomal RNA
Source: RNAcentral
GAGUAUUGCUGCGCUUUGACGCCUUCGGGUAAAGAGGACGACACUAAUUUGGGAACGGAGAACUGCGGCUUC